UAGGGAAUCUUCGGCAAUGGACGCAAGUCUGAUGGAGCAACGCCGCGUGAGUGAAGAAGGUCUUCGGAUCGUAAAACUCUGUUGUUAGAGAAGAACGUGUGUGAGAGUGGAAAGUUCACACAGUGACGGUAACUUACCAGAAAGGGACGGCUAACUACGUGCCAG
This 165-nucleotide ribosomal RNA is filed under the name uncultured bacterium. RNAcentral describes it as "partial 16S rRNA". It matches the Rfam family "Bacterial small subunit ribosomal RNA", at positions 355 to 511 of the family's 1533-position model. The record is from RNAcentral.